This 4772-nucleotide long non-coding RNA is filed under the name Homo sapiens (human). RNAcentral describes it as "HSALNT0051349". The record is from RNAcentral. Lineage: Eukaryota; Metazoa; Chordata; Mammalia; Primates; Hominidae.
UUUUUGAACAGCUUUAUUGAGAUAGAAUUCACAUACAAUCCACCCUUUUUAACGUGUGUACAAUGGCUUUUAGUAUAUUCAGAGUUGUAUAACCAUUACUAUCAAAUUUUAGAACAUUCUAUUGCCCCCACACAAAACCCAUCAUCAGUCACUCCCUGUUUCCCCUCACCCUCAGGCAACCAUUCGUCUAGUUUCUGUCUCUGUGGAUUUGCCUGUUCUGGACAUUUCAUAAAAAUAGGAUCAUCAACUAUGUGGGUUUUUUUGUGACUGUCUUCUUUCACUUGCUGUAAUGUUUUUUAAAUUCAUCCAUGUUAUAUAGCAUGUAUCAGUACUUCACUCCUUUUAAUGACAGAGUAAUAUUCCACUGUAUGGAUAUACCACAAUUUGUUGAUCCACUCAUUUGUUAAUGGGCAUUUUGGUUAUUUUUAUUUUUUGGCUAUUAUGAAUAGUGCUAUGAAUAUGCAUACAUAAGCUUUUGUGUGGAUGUAUGUUUUCAUUCUCUCACAUAUGUAUACCUAGAAGUGGGAUUGCUGGGUCAUGGGGUAACUCAAGUGUUUAACUUUGUGAGGGCUUGCCAGACUGCUGUAACAUUUCACAGUCCCACCAGUGGCGUUUUGAGAAUUCUAAUUUCUCUCUUUGCCAGCACUUGUUAUUAUGCCUUUUUGACUCUAGUGCUAUCCUGGUAGAUGUGAAAUUAUGUCUCAUUGUGGUUCUGAUUUGUAUUUCCCUAAUGACUAAUUCCCUAAGCAUCUUUUCAUAUGCUUAUUGGCCAUUUUAUAUCUUUUUUUGAGAAAUGUGUAUUCAGACCUAAAAACUGUUUUAAAAAGCAAUGUCAUUUUAAAUUAAAUGUGGAGAUAACCUAUGUUUAUUGCUGUAUAUUUACAUCUCUUCCAAACUCAGAGGUGAACAUGUGACUACAUCCUGGCCUGAGAUGCAGAUGAAGCUCCUGGGUAAAGGACCCUGAGAAAUCUGUUUGAAGGAGACUGCCUUCAGGGAAUGAACAUAAUUUUUUUUUUUUGUACCAGCUGACCUCUCUAGUCCUUCUUGCCUGAAAUGGAUAAGAUGGCUGCAGCUCCAGCAACCAUUUUGAGCCACGAGGUUACCCUGAAGAGGGAAACUUCGCAUUAAAGGUGGCCAAGCUGCGCAGCAGAGCCCGGGCUCCUGAUGACAUUGGAAGCAUGGUGGGCUCAGAGGACUGCACACACCUCAGUAUGUCUGGGAUGUGGGGGGAUCCGUGGGAGAGCAGCAGAUGAAACUGGGAAAGUGGCCUAGAAUCAGAUCUUGCAGGGCCUUGUAUGUCAUUCCAAAGAAUUUGCAUGUGCUAUAUAAUCAAAUACUCCAUGCAAAUACUGAAAUGUAUUGUCUUUAAUGGCUAAUUGUGUUCCAUAUGGUCUCAUCUCUGCAAUUGGAGGGCAGGGGCCAUGUCUUCUCUUUUAUAAUCUCUACAAUGCUAAGCCCAGCACUGCUACAUGCCAGAAACGGAAAAAUAUCUGUAGCAUUAAAGUCAGCCACAUAGCCUAAGGGACCCACGCAGAUGGCUAUAAACAAAGCUUCAAGAUGCAAUUCCCACAAAGGAAUGAAAUGUAUAAGAAAUUUAUAAAGGAUAUGAGGGAUGACCAUGGACGCAGCACCUUCUUCAGUCAACAAUCUGCUGCAUGUCUCCACUGUUUCCAGUUAGCUUCUGGGACAGGGAUGGGGAAGGCAUGGGCCCUGCUCUCGAGGGGCUCACAGUAGAGAGGGGAGACACACACACAGAAGGCUACAGUAAGUCAGAGUGCUCUCUGCAAGGCGGAAUGGAAACCCAGAGAAGGAAGUGUCACUGGGAGGGCAAGAGUUAAGGUUCUCACGUCACAUGAAUGUGUGUUUAGGCAAUGUGACCUUGAGCCCAGCCUUUGAUCUGUGUGAUGUUCCCAAUGGCCACGUGUGACACUAGUCCCCACCUUCAAGGACUGUGAGGAUUAGUGAGGUGGUGUGUGUGAAGGGUCAGCACACACGCAGCACAGAGUUGAAUGCUCAGUAAUUGUUAGGUAGAAAAAAGGUCAUUAUUUGAAGUGGUCAAAGGUUGUAUUACAGGCGAUGGGCACAGCUCUUGUACAGGCUGAAGGCUCCAAACAGCCCUGACAAGUUUGUGGAACAGCAAGGAACUGGAUGCCGCUACAGGGUAGUGUAGAGGUGGGGAGGGUAGGACCAGGUGAGAGGAGCCUGAGCUUGAUCUUGUAGCUGAUGGGAAACUACUGAAGUUGGCAAACAAAGGAGGCAUCUGCAUUGUAGGGUGCUCCUUCUGCUGCUGGCAGCGUGGAGGGAAGUGUGGUGGGGUGAGUGGAUAUGGAUAGCUGCUGCUAGGGGUUAGCCAAGGAUGUGAGCUGCACCCACAGCACACUUAUUUCUGCCUACGAUCAAAAAAGGAUGUUCAGGCCAGGCAUGGUGGCCCACACCUGUAAUCCCAGCACUUUGGGAGGCCGAGGCGGGCAGAUCACCUGAGGUCAGGAGUUUGAGACCAGCCUGGCCAACAUGGUGAAACCCCGUCUCCAGUAAAAAUACAAAAAGUAGCCAGGUGUGCUGGUGCGCACCUGUAAUCCCAGCUACUCAGGAGGCUGAGGCAGGAGAAUCGCCUGAACCCGGGAGGCAGAGGUUGCAGUGAGUUGAGAUCGCGCUAUUGCACUCCAGCCUGGGCAACAGGAACGAAACUCCCGUCUAAAAAAACAAAAACAAAAACAAAAAAAAGGAUGUCCAGUCCUAGGAGCACCUGGAAGGGUAUAAAAAGGCACAGACCCAGCAAACUGCCAGGGGUACAUGAUGGUGCAAAAGCAGGACAGGGAGGAAAAGGGAAGACGUUCUGAAUGAGCUUCAGGAAAAUCAAGGGUACCCGGCCAGAAGGCAGCUGAGGGGAAAUAAGCAUAGAUUUAAAAGCAGAGAGAGGGCAUACCUCCACCCCUUUACUGGCACUGAUUCAGAACACAUUUUUUGGUCAAAGUAUACACAGCUGUAUACUUAAGAAGACAAUCAAACUAAGCCUCCUCAGGUUAUCUGGUCACGGUGUUCUCUGCUAUUUUCUCUAGUUUCUGGCUCUCUGAUUUUAAUCAGAAAUACUUCUGAUAAGGGCAGCGAGUCCAGAUGUCAGCGCGUGACUGCAAUUUGUGAGCAGGCAUGGCUUUAGGCUAGGACAGGUCUGAGAAUCAGCCCUCACUAGAUGCAUAAAAGAAAUGGAGGUGGACCUAGGAAAAUUAAUAGAUGCUGUUCUCUGUACUGUUAAGCAUAUAAAACAGCAUUCUGGACAGAUGCUUGGCAGAGAAAAGGAAAGAAGGGCUCUGCUAGAGAGAAGUGGAUCUUAAGGUGAGCAGAGUUGGGGCCACUGCACAUAAGAUUGAGCUUAACUUCAUGAGAAGCCAAGGUUUAAUGUGACACUGGAAUCUCAUGGUAGCCAUCCUAGAGUGGAUUCUCAAGGAGAUUCACUGUGGUAUCAAAGGGCCCUUACUGUGAUGGGUCUCCUGACAAGACCCAUGAAGAAACAUAAAAUUGACCAUCUCUUUGACCCAGUUUUCCUGCUUAUGAAAGUGGCACCCCAGGGGACAGUUUCAAAAUGGGGGGGAGGAGUGUCAGGGAAGUUAUCUGUAUAAAGAUCGAUGUUUGUUAAACCAUACUAAAAGAUGCUUAUAGCCACUUCAUUCCCUAUAGUGAAAUAAUGAUGUACAUUAAGCUGAUGAACUAUUAGGCAACAAUUAAAAAUAACUAGGAAGCUCGGUUUUAGAAAUGUUAAAGAAAGAAGAACCAAAUGGUGUGUAUACACUGAUUACACAUUCCAUGGAAACCUGUGCAGAUCAUAAGUUGGACACAGAGAUACAAAGCCUUUUCUUUUUAAGGAAAAGGUGAUUAUUUUUGGAAAAGCAAUAAAACCUGGGUUCCCAGCAAAGACAGUGGCACAGUUACCAGACUCACUUGCAACCUGGGAGACCUGGGCUGGGAGCAAGGUCCACUCUUGUAUUUUUUGAUUUUCAAAAACCGUGAACAACUAUGGCUGUGCAUGGAGAGGCUGGUGUGGGGUGGGGUGCGGGGAGGUGCUCUGUUCAACCGCAGGGAAUAAUGACCAAAAAAAAAAAGGCGGGGGGGAGGGGGAAGGAAUGCAGUACACCCCACAGAAAAUGCUUAAAACCUGGCCAAACUGUUACUAAGCAUGUGAGCUUUCAGACUUAGGGAGAAUGUGGCAAUUAGAAAUGUAGUGGAGGGCCGGGUGCAGUGGCUCACACCCGUCAUCCCAGCACUUUGGGAGGAUGAGGCAGAUAGAUCAUCUGAGGUCAGGAGCUCGAGACCAGCCUGGCCAACAUGGGUGAAACCCCAUUUCUACUAAAAAUACAAAAAUUAGCUGGACGUGGUGGUGCAUGCCUGUAAUCCCAGCUACUCGGGAGGCUGAGGCAGGAGAAUCACUUGAACCCGGGGAGUGGAGGUUGCAGUGAGCCACUGCACUCCAGCCUAGGCAGCAGAGCGGGACUCCAUCUCCAAAAAUAAAUAAAUAAAUAAAUAAAUAACAAAAACAAAAGAAAUACAGUGGAGAAAGAAGCUGUUUCAAUUGAGGGUGGAACAGAUGCAAUAUUUCUGGCCACUCCUACCACUGGACAAACACACACUUACUAUGAGUGACUAUAUAGAUGCAGCCUGGGAUUUACUAAGAAACACCAUAACAGAACAUCGAUAGGCCAGGUGACAGCUUUUCACUACAACACCUUACUUCCUUUGAACAUUUGGAUUUUCUAGUUUUCCUAGACAAUGACCUACAC